UUGGGUUUUGAAUAUUUCUAGGAUUGAAUUUUUGACAAAUAAAAUAUAUUGUAAAAUUGUUUGCUUGAAGAUUUCUAUUUUUUGCUUUAUUGCCAAAAUGUGUUUGAUUAAACAUUUCUUAUCUUUAUUUUUAGGAUAAGAAGAUGGUGACCGAUUUUGACUGGUCCUCACUGAACAUUGGCUUCCAAAAAGUUGAAACCUCAUCAGAUAUGGAUAAAAUGUGAAAAGCUCAAUAUGUACAGACAGAACAAAUAUAAUUAUGUACAACUGCAUUUUUAAUUUUUUUUUUUUUAUAAUAUAUAAUAAAAUAGGUUUAAUACAAUAUUACAGUGUUCACUAGUAUUGACUGCUAAUUACACUUAGACAGAUUAAUUAUUUUUUUUUCGUGGUUCUUGAUCGUUUUGUACUAUUAUUUGUAGCACCAUCAUGAAGUUUUUCUGUAGGGGUAACUGGUGACUUUUCAAGUCCACUGCUAGUUGUUG
Molecule: long non-coding RNA, 482 nt
Filed under: Mytilus galloprovincialis (Mediterranean mussel)
Lineage: Eukaryota; Metazoa; Mollusca; Bivalvia; Mytilida; Mytilidae
Source: RNAcentral